This 639-nucleotide ribosomal RNA is filed under the name uncultured Streptomyces sp. Its description in RNAcentral is "bacterial SSU rRNA". It matches the Rfam family "Bacterial small subunit ribosomal RNA", at positions 223 to 872 of the family's 1533-position model. The record is from RNAcentral. Lineage: Bacteria; Bacillati; Actinomycetota; Actinomycetes; Kitasatosporales; Streptomycetaceae.
GGAUGAGCCCGCGGCCUAUCAGCUUGUUGGUGAGGUAACGGCUCACCAAGGCGACGACGGGUAGCCGGCCUGAGAGGGCGACCGGCCACACUGGGACUGAGACACGGCCCAGACUCCUACGGGAGGCAGCAGUGGGGAAUAUUGCACAAUGGGCGAAAGCCUGAUGCAGCGACGCCGCGUGAGGGAUGACGGCCUUCGGGUUGUAAACCUCUUUCAGCAGGGAAGAAGCGAGAGUGACGGUACCUGCAGAAGAAGCGCCGGCUAACUACGUGCCAGCAGCCGCGGUAAUACGUAGGGCGCAAGCGUUGUCCGGAAUUAUUGGGCGUAAAGAGCUCGUAGGCGGCUUGUCACGUCGGUUGUGAAAGCCCGGGGCUUAACCCCGGGUCUGCAGUCGAUACGGGCAGGCUAGAGUUCGGUAGGGGAGAUCGGAAUUCCUGGUGUAGCGGUGAAAUGCGCAGAUAUCAGGAGGAACACCGGUGGCGAAGGCGGAUCUCUGGGCCGAUACUGACGCUGAGGAGCGAAAGCGUGGGGAGCGAACAGGAUUAGAUACCCUGGUAGUCCACGCCGUAAACGGUGGGCACUAGGUGUGGGCAACAUUCCACGUUGUCCGUGCCGCAGCUAACGCAUUAAGUGCCCCGC